RNAcentral lists this ribosomal RNA (497 nucleotides) under uncultured bacterium. RNAcentral describes it as "partial 16S ribosomal RNA". It matches the Rfam family "Bacterial small subunit ribosomal RNA", at positions 28 to 507 of the family's 1533-position model. The record is from RNAcentral.
GAUGAACGCUGGCGGCGUGCCUAAUACAUGCAAGUCGAGCGAACAGACGAGGAGCUUGCUCCUCUGACGUUAGCGGCGGACGGGUGAGUAACACGUGGAUAACCUACCUAUAAGACUGGGAUAACUUCGGGAAACCGGAGCUAAUACCGGAUAAUAUAUUGAACCGCAUGGUUCAAUAGUGAAAGACGGUUUUGCUGUCACUUAUAGAUGGAUCCGCGCCGCAUUAGCUAGUUGGUAAGGUAACGGCUUACCAAGGCAACGAUGCGUAGCCGACCUGAGAGGGCGAUCGGCCACACUGGAACUGAGACACGGUCCAGACUCCUACGGGAGGCAGCAGUAGGGAAUCUUCCGCAAUGGGCGAAAGCCUGACGGAGCAACGCCGCGUGAGUGAUGAAGGUCUUCGGAUCGUAAAACUCUGUUAUUAGGGAAGAACAAAUGUGUAAGUAACUAUGCACGUCUUGACGGUACCUAAUCAGAAAGCCACGGCUAACUACGUG